Molecule: transfer RNA, 74 nt
Filed under: Deltaproteobacteria bacterium
Lineage: Bacteria; Pseudomonadati; Myxococcota; Myxococcia
Description: tRNA-OTHER
Rfam family: tRNA
About the family: Transfer RNA (tRNA) molecules are approximately 80 nucleotides in length.
Source: RNAcentral
GCCCGGGUAGCUCAGUCGGUAGAGCAGANNUGAAAAUCCGCGUGUCGGCGGUUCAAUUCCGUCCCCGGGCACCA